This 422-nucleotide ribosomal RNA is filed under the name Vibrio sp. 2-2(2). RNAcentral describes it as "bacterial SSU rRNA". It matches the Rfam family "Bacterial small subunit ribosomal RNA", at positions 1121 to 1533 of the family's 1533-position model. Lineage: Bacteria; Pseudomonadati; Pseudomonadota; Gammaproteobacteria; Vibrionales; Vibrionaceae. The record is from RNAcentral.
GCGAGUAAUGUCGGGAACUCCAGGGAGACUGCCGGUGAUAAACCGGAGGAAGGUGGGGACGACGUCAAGUCAUCAUGGCCCUUACGAGUAGGGCUACACACGUGCUACAAUGGCGCAUACAGAGGGCGGCCAACUUGCGAAAGUGAGCGAAUCCCAAAAAGUGCGUCGUAGUCCGGAUUGGAGUCUGCAACUCGACUCCAUGAAGUCGGAAUCGCUAGUAAUCGUGGAUCAGAAUGCCACGGUGAAUACGUUCCCGGGCCUUGUACACACCGCCCGUCACACCAUGGGAGUGGGCUGCAAAAGAAGUAGGUAGUUUAACCUUCGGGGGGACGCUUACCACUUUGUGGUUCAUGACUGGGGUGAAGUCGUAACAAGGUAGCGCUAGGGGAACCUGGCGCUGGAUCACCUCCUUAUACGAUGAU